GUUCUCUAAAAGAAGACUUUUAUAUGCAUUUCCCCUAGGGUCCUAUGUUAAACUUAAUCCCCCGCUGGUGGCCAUCUUGAAUGAUGGAUCGGCUACAAAGUAACAACACUUGGUCAGCAUCUCGUAAGAAACAUUAAUGCUAUGUUUGAUUUCAUUCCAUUCAGUGGUUCUCUAAAAGAAGAAAUUUGAAUGUAUUUCCCAAAGGGUCCUAUGUUAAACUAAGUCCCC
RNAcentral lists this long non-coding RNA (228 nucleotides) under Mytilus galloprovincialis (Mediterranean mussel). The record is from RNAcentral. Lineage: Eukaryota; Metazoa; Mollusca; Bivalvia; Mytilida; Mytilidae.